Non-coding RNA from Notechis scutatus (mainland tiger snake), 219 nucleotides. The record is from RefSeq and is a predicted model, not a curated record. Lineage: Eukaryota; Metazoa; Chordata; Lepidosauria; Squamata; Elapidae.
GUGGAUGCCAGGGGAAUGGCAAUAAUUUUAAGACUCUGGAUCAAUGUCGCUACGCCUGUGUUGGAGCACCCAUGAAGAGACCCUCCCAGAUUGGAACAAAUGUUUGAACUUGACCCAAAGAGUCUUCUUCAGUCCUGGACCACCCCGGAGACCCUCCCCCCAAACCCCACCCUGGGCUCAUUCCUUUUUUUCUGCAAUAAAGCUUUGGUUCCAGCUGCC